Non-coding RNA from Caenorhabditis elegans, 147 nucleotides. Lineage: Eukaryota; Metazoa; Nematoda; Chromadorea; Rhabditida; Rhabditidae. The record is from Ensembl.
CAUCAUAAUAUGAAUCAUAUUGUGACAUAUCGACUUCUCUCGCUUUUGUUGUCACUUUCUUUGUCCUCGAGGUAUUCUGUACAGAAGUAUACGGUCGAGGUGGAGGUGUUGGUGGAACAGUCACUGAAAUGGUUUAAUUAAAUUUCU